GACGAACGCUGGCGGCGUGCCUAAUACAUGCAAGUUGAGCGCUGAAGGUUGGUACUUGUACCGACUGGAUGAGCAGCGAACGGGUGAGUAACGCGUGGGGAAUCUGCCUUUGAGCGGGGGACAACAUUUGGAAACGAAUGCUAAUACCGCAUAAAAACUUUAAACACAAGUUUUAAGUUUGAAAGAUGCAAUUGCAUCACUCAAAGAUGAUCCCGCGUUGUAUUAGCUAGUUGGCGAGGUAAAGGCUCACCAAGGCGAUGAUACAUAGCCGACCUGAGAGGGUGAUCGGCCACAUUUGGACUGAGACACGGCCCAAACUCCUACGGGAGGCAGCAGUAGGGAAUCUUCGGCAAUGGACGAAAGUCUGACCGAGCAACGCCGCGUGAGGGAAGAAGGGUUUCGGAUCGUAAAACUCUGUUGGUAGAGAAGAACGUUGGUGGGAGUGGAAAGCUCAUCAAGUGACGGUAACUACCCAGAAAGGGACGGCUAACUACGUG
Molecule: ribosomal RNA, 497 nt
Filed under: uncultured bacterium
Lineage: Bacteria
Description: partial 16S ribosomal RNA
Rfam family: Bacterial small subunit ribosomal RNA
Source: RNAcentral